UCCUUUGAUACUUAGAGAGGGCAGGUUUUUAGAGAUUACAAAUUGGAGAGUAAAAACAUAGACUGAAUUUUGGUAACUGAAAUAUAGAAUGAAUUUUUGAGAAGAAAUUCAGAACUUAAGAGAGAGAGUUUUAGUCAGUCAGUUAGUUGAAUUAACACCGCUCAUUUGAAAAAUACCAAAAUACUGGUACAUCGAAUAAUGGAGAGUUUUUCCAUGAACGGUUUGUUUUCAAAGUUGAAUUUGGGGCAUUUGAAUUGAAUUGUGGUCUGCUGAGUUGCUGAAGUUGUUUUCAAAGCUGUUGGGUUUCAUUUCUGGGAUAUUUGGUAUUGCUAUAGAUCAAUCUCUACCUCUGUUUGGUCCUGGGGUCACUGAUUCAUUCUUGGAGUUGAAUUUGUUGCUGGGGUAUUGCUGUCUUGCUGUGCUACUGCUGUUAUAUUGCUACUGCUGACCUCUCUUUUCUCUUGUUGUAAUUCAAAUUUCAGGUACACAUUCGAGAACUGAUUUGAUGUAGCUCUUUCUGUUGGAAUCUGGAAUAAAAAACGAAAUUAACUCCUUGAUAUGGAUGUUUGGCCUGCCUUACUUCAGAAUAGUAGUUGUAUAAUUCGUUUAAUUUGUUCACUGUAAUGGAUUUGGACUGUGUGGGACUGUUUCUGCUUUAUAACUUGUGGAUUGUAGUAUUUAACAAAUGAAUUUGUGUUGAUGUGAACCACUAGGUCUAUUUAGUGCUUUUAUGUUUAGCUUAUGGAAAUUAAAAUCACUUUAGAGUGGAUCUGAACUGUUAUUGGCUAUAACUAAUUUGAAAUUCUGAAUCACUUGCCUAGCCUACAUGUUCAGAAUUGGCGAUUAAUUUGAGGUGGAAGUUUACUUUGAGUUGUGAUAUGCAUUUGUACUAGGGACUGACUAUAUUUUGUAUAAAACUGGAUCAAAAUGAGCUAUUAAAGUAGUCUUAAAUCCAAAGCAGGUUGAUAGAUUCUUCUCACAUGUUUAAAUCAGAUAAUUGGAAAAGCAUAUUUUGUAAGCUAUGCAUAAAGGCUGCCAUCAUGAAUGAAUCAUGUUUCAUUUGUAGUAUUUUAAGUUGGUCUUUGUAAAAUGAACAACUGGAAUGAAUUAAACUGGAGAUGCACUCAUAGUGCGAUUUACAUGAAGUAUGUGUCACAUAGAUGAAUUUGAAUGAUUGAAUUAGUAAAAAUGAAGGUUAGAAAUGAUUGUAUCACGUUCAGUAGGAAAAACUUGAUUUUUGGCAAUAGGCUUCGUUGCAAAUUCUAUUUCUGGGGCCUAAGCCAUUGCCAUUGGUUUCCAUGAGUUUCAGCUCCAUCUAGCCUAAUUUUCAGUUAGUUCCUUUCAAUUAGGUCCUUUCCUUUGUUUUUUAGAGACAAAGUAAAUAGAAAAUUAUAGUUACCUUAGGAUCAACCUUUUAAUAAAAAUGAGCCUCGCCUCGCCAAAUGACAUGCACAAAUUGCGGGGCCCUCAUAAAUGUAUAUAUCAACUCCUUAGAUUUCGGGAUGAGCCGUUUAGCGAAUUUCAUGGUCCUCUCAAAAUAAUAACUUGUUAGCAUAUUUAGGCGCGUAUUUAAUACUGUUAUCUUCCCUAAACUCGGGUGUGCAUUUCAUGCGACCCAAAUCCAAAUCUCAAAAUGUCGAACCAGAUGUGUUCAGGAUUGCGGGUUCAUUUCAUGCGGCGCAAUCCAAAGACAUGUCUCAGACGAUUUUCAAUUUUCUUUAAUAAAUUGAAUAAAAAUGGCUAAAAUUUAAAAUCGACACAUAAGUUACAACAUGUAAAAAUCAGAUAAAUAAGCUAAACAUGACAGUUGAGCGACCGUGCUAGAACCACGGAACUCGAGAAUGCCUAACACCUUAUCCCAGGUUAACAGAAUUCCUUAUCCAGAUUUCUGGUUCGUGGACUGUGAAACAAAGUCAUUAUCUUCUCGACAUUUCAUGCGGCGCAAUCCAAAGACAUGUCUCAGACGACGUUCAAUUUUCUUUAAUGAAUUAAAUAAAAGCGGUAAAAGAGUUAUACUUUACAUAUAGUGAACAAUCGUAAAAAUUAGAUAAAUAAGCCGAAUAUGACAGUUGAGGGAACCACGGAACUCGGGAAUGCCUAACACCUUCUCCCGAAUUAACAGAAUUUCUUAUCCGGAUUUCUGGUGCGCAGACUGUUAAACAGAGUCAUUCUUUUCCUCAAUUCGGGAUUUAACCGAUGACUUGGGACACCAUAAAUCUACCAAGUGGCGACUCUGAAUCUUUAAUAAAUAAUCCUGUUUUGAUUGUCCUUUAAUUGGAAAAACGCCUCUGCACCCUGCGGGCGCAGAAAAAGGAGGUGAGACAGGCAGUGUUGGGCCAGCGGAAAGACAAAUUGAUGCACCCAAUCUACUAUGCUAGUAGAAUGCUGAGCUCAGCCCAGUUGAACUACACGGUGACGGAAAAGGAAAUACUAGCUGUGGUGUUCGCGUUUGACAAGUUACGGUCCUAUUUGAUAGGAUCCAAGGUAAUUCUAUAUACUGACCAUGCAACUCUCAUGUACUUAAUAGAAAAGAAAGAAUCUAAGCCACGCCUGAUUCGUUGGGUGUUGCUUCUGCAAGAAUUCGAUCUUUAAAUACAUGACUGUAACGGCACAAAGAAUCAAGUCGCUAAUCAUCUAUCAUGACUUGAGGCAGCUAAAAGUGUAGUAGAGGUUGAGGAGAGGUUGAGGAAAUUCUGGAAACUUUUCCACACGAGCAGCUGCUCGCCACCACUCAUCAGGAAGCUCCAUUGUAUCCAGACUUUGCUAAUUACCUGGCUAGUGUUAUAGUUCCUCACGAGCUUUCAUCGGUCGAAAGGAAAAGAUUUUUCGUGAAAGCCGCCAAUAUUACUGGGAUGAGCCUUAUCUUUUUAGAAUAUGCCUUAAUAACAUGAUCUGGAGAUGCGUCUCCGAGAUUGAACAAUAUUCUAUUUUGCAGGCUUGUCAUGCAUCGGCUUAUGUUGGACACUUUGGAGGGGUCAGGACAACAGCAAAGGUGUUAGAGGCCAGAUUUUUCUGGCCAACAGUGUUUAAAGAUGCUCACUUAAGGGUGAAGUGUUGUAAUGAAUGUCAAUGCACAUGGAACAUUUUCCGGCGCCACAAGAUGCCCAUGAACCCAAUUCAGGAGAAUUUCAUGGGUCCCUUCGUCAGCUCCUAUGGAAAUAAGUACAUUCUUGUUGCUUUAGACUAUGUGUCCAAAUGGGUGGAAGCUGCGGCGUUGUCCACCAAUGAUGCAAAAGUGGUGGUGGGAUUUCUAAAGAAGAACAUAUUCACCGCUUGGGACACCAUGUGUGAUUAUCAGCGACGGAGGCACUCACUUCUGCAAUAGGGCCUUUGAAAAGUUGUUGGCCAAGUACGAUGUGCACCACAAGGUGGCUACUCCUUACCACCCGCAGACUAGUGAACAGGUUGAGGUUUCCAACAGAGAGAUCAAGAGUGUAUUGACAAAAACCGUGAACGCCACAAAAACUGAUUGGGCGAGGAAGCUAGAUGAUGCACUUUGGGAUUACAGAAUAGCUUUCAAGACACCAAUUGGUAUGACACCAUACAAGUUGGUGUUUGGGAAGGCCUAUCACCUACCUGUAGAACUUGAGCAUAAAGCGCGGUCGGCACUGAAACAGCUAAACUUAGACAUAGAAGUUGCGGGUACGUUAAGAGUCACUGAAUUGCAUGAGCUCGAGGAGUUCAAGUACAUUUCUUUUGAGAGCACAAAGCUGUACAAAGAGCGAAUGAAGAGGCUACACGAUCAGAACAUUGUUAAGCGGAAUUCAAACCUGGGGACAUGGUAUUGCUCUACAACUCAAGACUGAGGUUGUUCCCGGGUAAGCAUAAGUCACGAUGGUCUGGACCAUUUCGAGUAGUUGAAGUUUUCCCGUGUGGAGCUGUUGAAGUUUCCACUGAGAAUGACUCUCGUACAUUUCAAUGGUCAGCGAUUGAAAUUGUAUGUGGGUAUGAGCGAGCCUAAGGAAGUGUCUGAGCUGCACUUGAAUGAACCACAGAGGUUGAGCGAGCCAUAAAUGCGCUCAUCAUGCGUCAUGACGUGACGUUAAAUCAGGCGCUGCAUGGGAGGCAAGCCACGAAUCUGUUGUAAGUGUAACUCUUUAUAUAAAAAAGAAAUGCGGAAGCUGAACAGUGCCUAGACCGUAGUCCCACCGCGACCGCAGUCAAUCCACGAUCAGAACAUCUCUUUGACCAAAAUCCCCGGCGGUUCCACUGCGAACGCGGUCAAACCGCGGUGGAAUACCCUCACUUAUCAGAUUCCCAAAACCCACGCCUCCAACCCCCUAUUCUCUCUAGUUCUCUAUUUUUCUCUCCAAAAUCUCCCCUCUCUCUCCACAAACUCCAUUAUCAUCUUCCCCAAACUUCCAUCUGUUGGAAACACGUUCUCAAUGCAAUAUACUAAAACGUGUGUUCUUUUGUAUAGGUUUUGAUAAAUGACAAACGAAGCGAAAAUUGAUAUAUGAC
Molecule: long non-coding RNA, 4461 nt
Filed under: Nicotiana benthamiana
Lineage: Eukaryota; Viridiplantae; Streptophyta; Magnoliopsida; Solanales; Solanaceae
Description: long non-coding RNA (NBEN_LNC036569)
Source: RNAcentral